RNAcentral lists this unclassified non-coding RNA (378 nucleotides) under plant metagenome. RNAcentral describes it as "partial contains 5.8S ribosomal RNA, internal transcribed spacer 2, and large subunit ribosomal RNA". The stretch from base 1 to 105 matches the Rfam family "5.8S ribosomal RNA", at positions 50 to 154 of the family's 154-position model. The record is from RNAcentral.
GAAAUGCGAUAAGUAAUGUGAAUUGCAGAAUUCAGUGAAUCAUCGAAUCUUUGAACGCACCUUGCGCUCCUUGGUAUUCCUUGGAGCAUGCCUGUUUGAGUAUCAUGAGAUCUUCAAAGUAAAUCUUUUGUUAACUCAAUUGGUUUCUACUUUGGUAUUGGAGGUCUUUGCAGCUUCACACCUGCUCCUCUUUGUUCAUUAGCUGGAUCUCAGUGUUAUGCUUGGUUCCACUCGGCGUGAUAAGUUAUCUAUCGCUGAGGACACUGUAAAAGGUGGCCAAGGUAAAUGCAGAUGAACCGCUUCUAAUAGUCCAUUGACUUGGACAAUACUUUUAUGAUCUGAUCUCAAAUCAGGUAGGACUACCCGCUGAACUUAAGC